UUCUUAUGAUCCAGGUCUGGUAUGCAUCCCCCUCCCCUCAUGGGAAAAAACUGGCCUGAGCUGCUCCUCACCCUUAAGGAACAAAAAGAAAAUAAAACACCGUGUUCACCGUGUAAUCAAAUAUCCUGCAACAUCUGAUUGGAGGUGCUACCUAGAAGCGACUGGAUCUCAGGGAUCCUGACUCCAUCAGUGGACAAAUCUAUUGACGAGUACACACCUGACUGGGAUGCUAGCAGCAGUAUCAAAGUGGAGGAAGUCACUGGGGACAAAGCUUUGAAGGGCAUACCUUGUCUGAUAAAAGCAGUUGAAAGAA
This is a non-coding RNA of Rattus norvegicus (Norway rat), 313 nucleotides long. The record is from RefSeq and is a predicted model, not a curated record. Lineage: Eukaryota; Metazoa; Chordata; Mammalia; Rodentia; Muridae.